RNAcentral lists this long non-coding RNA (1783 nucleotides) under Pan troglodytes (chimpanzee). Its description in RNAcentral is "long non-coding RNA NONPTRT012269". The record is from RNAcentral. Lineage: Eukaryota; Metazoa; Chordata; Mammalia; Primates; Hominidae.
GAUUAUAGGCGUGAGCCACCACGCCCGGCCUGUUUCCUUUGGUUUAAAGUGGAUUCGAAUCAGUGUUAAAUCAGAAAAUCAGGGUUUUCUAGGAAAUUGGGAAUUAGUUGCCAGAAAGGAAACUGAACUAUGCAGAAGGAGUUAAGAGCUGGGAUGAGGCUGGAUGGGGUGACUGACAGUGUCCAGAUCAUUGAAACAGAUUGGGUCGUCGGAAACUGGUCCAGAUGAGGCUGGAUGGGGUGACUGACAGUCUGGAUCAUUGAAACUGAUUAGGUCUUCAGAAAUGGGUCCAGAUGAGGAUGAGGCUGAGGCUGGAUGGGGUGACUGACAGUCUGGAUCAUUGAAACUGAUUGGGUGGUUGGUCAGAAACGGGUCCAGAUGAGGAUGAGGAUGAGGCUGGAUGGGGUGACUGACAGUCUGGAUCAUUGAAACUGGUCCACUAUGACGCAGCAGGGGCAGUUUGGCAGAGCAUCCUCUUCCCUUGUCCUUGUGAAAGAACACAGGAAACAUUUGGGUUUUACAGCUUUUCACACCCUACUAUCAGGCAUCAGAAUCAAAAUUAGUUACUAAAUUGGGUGAAUUUUUGGAAACCUGCAUUUCUAUUCAUCUGCUAUUCCAGAAAAAAAUGGGAAUGUAUUACAGGAGAGUUACCUCACAGUGUCUUAUGUUGUGGAACCUGAAGCAUAACCACGUGUUUUCUUAUAUGAUCAUUUGUGUUGAUACUGCUUUUAUUUGAGUUUAUGAACAGAAAUAGAAAGUAUGGUGCUUGGGUUUUGCCCUUUCUUACUCCUGAAAGUUAAAUCAGAAGACACUGAUUUCAUUUUGUGAAAUUUAGCUCAGAGACGAUUGAUCUUUUGUUUCAUUAAUAUGAACAACUAUUAGUAAAAAAAUAGCUUUAACAGCAUUUCUGCUGAUAUCUAGUAAUCUAUUCUUUUAAUGUGAAAAUACGAUAAAAUGUCCUGGAGCUAAUUCUAGCUUAAAUUUGCCAGUAUUUCUUCUGUAUGUCAUUAAGUUUUUUUCCUCUAAGGUUGGUAAUAGAAUUUUGUUAAUCUUUGCAUACCUGAUGGCAUCUAUGUCAAUGCUGAUUGGGUAAUUAUAAAUUCUGUGCUCAUUUAAAACUUAAUUUGCCUCUUAAGGUGAUUGUCCUCUGAGUAAUGAUUGUAGUUAAAUGAAGUAUAGCUUGCAACUAUACUAUCACAUGGGUUGUUAAGUAAAAAUAAAUAAACCAAAUUUGUCUGAGACAGGCUAAGAUCAAUCUUCUCAUCAAACCAGUUUUUCUCUAAGAGCAAUUUCACUUUAAGUUUUAGGGUGGACAUUCUUGAAUGCCUCAAAUUAAACGUUAUCUAUUUAAUCUUCCUGGAAUAGUCUGUGACCAAAAAGGAGGGUGUGAUAUAUUUAGGUGUAAAUAUAUCACAUAUAUGGUGUGAUAUAUUUGGGAUUUAUAUAUUCAGCUCAUUCUCUGUGAAGAAGUCUUCCUGACUAAAAUUGGUUUCAAGAUAAACUAAUUUCUGUUAGUAUUUCUACUCUGCCUACCAUGUAUGCCUUUUUGUUAGAAACUAAUAAAUGUAUCAGUCACUAGCAGGUACUGGUCCUUUUUCCUCUCAUUUUUGUGGAAAGGAUAUGCAAACGUUGAAUUUCUCAGGGAGUACUAAGGCUGUGCAGAGGCUGAGAAUCUGAAAAAUAAAAUACUAAAAAUAAAAAUGGAUUAUUAUGUGUAUUUUACCACAACUUAAAAAUAUGUAAAAAUCAGCUACAUGAAAAUUAAAAGUUCUGCAUAACAAGA